GCUACACACGUGCUACAAUGGCCGGUACAGAGGGAAGCCACCCCGCAAGGGGGCGCGGAUCUACAAAACCGGUCACAGUUCGGAUCGGGGUCUACAACUCGACCCCGUGAAGCUGGAAUCGCUAGUAAUCGGAUAUCAGCCAUGAUCCGGUGAAUACGUUCCCGGGCCUUGUACACACCGCCCGUCAAGCCAUGGAAGCCGGGAGUGCCUGAAGUCCGUCACCGCAAGGAGCGGCCUAGGGUAAAAUUGGUAACUAGGGCUAAGUCGUAACAAGGUAGCCGUACCGGAAGGUGCGGCUGGAACACCUCCUUU
This 312-nucleotide ribosomal RNA is filed under the name Parvibaculum sp. RNAcentral's name for it is "partial 16S ribosomal RNA". It matches the Rfam family "Bacterial small subunit ribosomal RNA", at positions 1213 to 1533 of the family's 1533-position model. Lineage: Bacteria; Pseudomonadati; Pseudomonadota; Alphaproteobacteria; Hyphomicrobiales; Parvibaculaceae. The record is from RNAcentral.